This 253-nucleotide ribosomal RNA is filed under the name uncultured bacterium. RNAcentral describes it as "partial 16S ribosomal RNA". It matches the Rfam family "Bacterial small subunit ribosomal RNA", at positions 524 to 776 of the family's 1533-position model. The record is from RNAcentral.
UACAGGGGGUGCAAACGUUGCUCGGAAUUAUUGGGCGUAAAGCGCGUGUAGGCGGUUGCCAAAGUCGGGUGUGAAAGCCUUGAGCUUAACUCAAGAAAUGCACUCGAUACUUGGUGACUAGAGGACCGGAGAGGAUAGUGGAAUUCCCAGUGUAGUGGUGAAAUACGUAGAGAUUGGGAAGAACACCAGUGGCGAAGGCGGCUAUCUGGACGGUUUCUGACGCUAAGACGCGAAAGCGUGGGGAGCAAACAGG